CAGAGAACAUUGCCCUCACGGGUGAUUCUCCAACCCUAUGUUAUUAAAACCUCUGUUGCUUUGGCGAGACGCUUCGGCCACCGGCUCCCGCUGGUGUGUGCUCGCCAGAGGACCACAAAACUCUGUUUAUUAGUGUCGUCUGAGUACUAUAUAAUAGUUA
This 160-nucleotide unclassified non-coding RNA is filed under the name uncultured Hamatocanthoscypha. RNAcentral's name for it is "sequence contains ITS1". Lineage: Eukaryota; Fungi; Ascomycota; Leotiomycetes; Helotiales; Hyaloscyphaceae. The record is from RNAcentral.